GAUGAACGCUGGCGGCGUGCCUAAUACAUGCAAGUCGAGCGAACAGACGAGGAGCUUGCUCCUCUGACGUUAGCGGCGGACGGGUGAGUAACACGUGGAUAACCUACCUAUAAGACUGGGAUAACUUCGGGAAACCGGAGCUAAUACCGGAUAAUAUAUUGAACCGCAUGGUUCAAUAGUGAAAGACGGUUUUGCUGUCACUUAUAGAUGGAUCCGCGCCGCAUUAGCUAGUUGGUAAGGUAACGGCUUACCAAGGCAACGAUGCGUAGCCGACCUGAGAGGGGGAUCGGCCACACGGGAACUGAGACACGGUCCAGACUCCUACGGGAGGCAGCAGUAGGGAAUCUUCCGCAAUGGGCGAAAGCCUGACGGAGCAAAGCCGCGUGAGUGAUGAAGGUCUUCGGAUCGUAAAACUCUGUUAUUAGGGAAGAACAAAUGUGUAAGUAACUAUGCACGUCUUGACGGUACCUAAUCAGAAAGCCACGGCUAACUACGUG
This 497-nucleotide ribosomal RNA is filed under the name uncultured bacterium. Its description in RNAcentral is "partial 16S ribosomal RNA". It matches the Rfam family "Bacterial small subunit ribosomal RNA", at positions 28 to 507 of the family's 1533-position model. The record is from RNAcentral.